This 740-nucleotide ribosomal RNA is filed under the name uncultured bacterium. RNAcentral's name for it is "bacterial SSU rRNA". It matches the Rfam family "Bacterial small subunit ribosomal RNA", at positions 33 to 773 of the family's 1533-position model. The record is from RNAcentral.
ACGCUAGCGGGAGGCCUAACACAUGCAAGCCGAGCGGUAGAGAUUCUUCGGAAUCUUGAGAGCGGCGUACGGGUGCGGAACACGUGUGCAACCUACCUUUAUCAGGGGGAUAGCCUUUCGAAAGGAAGAUUAAUACCCCAUAAUAUAUUUGAUGGCAUCAUUAGAUAUUGAAAACUCCGGUGGAUAGAGAUGGGCACGCGCAAGAUUAGAUAGUUGGUGAGGUAACGGCUCACCAAGUCCAUGAUCUUUAGGGGGCCUGAGAGGGUGAUCCCCCACACUGGUACUGAGACACGGACCAGACUCCUACGGGAGGCAGCAGUGAGGAAUAUUGGACAAUGGGUGAGAGCCUGAUCCAGCCAUCCCGCGUGAAGGACGACGGCCCUAUGGGUUGUAAACUUCUUUUGUAUAGGGAUAAACCUUUCCACGUGUGGAAAGCUGAAGGUACUAUACGAAUAAGCACCGGCUAACUCCGUGCCAGCAGCCGCGGUAAUACGGAGGGUGCAAGCGUUAUCCGGAUUUAUUGGGUUUAAAGGGUCCGUAGGCGGACUCGUAAGUCAGUGGUGAAAUCUCAUAGCUUAACUAUGAAACUGCCAUUGAUACUGCGGGUCUUGAGUAAGGUAGAGGUAGCUGGAAUAAGUAGUGUAGCGGUGAAAUGCAUAGAUAUUACUUAGAACACCAAUUGCGAAGGCAGGUUACCAUGUCUUAACUGACGCUGAUGGACGAAAGCGUGGGGAGCGAAC